GUGCUUGCACCUGGUGGCGAGUGGCGAACGGGUGAGUAAUACAUCGGAACAUGUCCUGUAGUGGGGAAUAGCCCGGCGAAAGCCGGAUUAAUACCGCAUACGAUCUACGGAUGAAAGCGGGGGACCUUCGGGCCUCGCGCUAUAGGGUUGGCCGAUGGCUGAUUAGCUAGUUGGUGGGGUAAAGGCCUACCAAGGCGACGAUCAGUAGCUGGUCUGAGAGGACGACCAGCCACACUGGGACUGAGACACGGCCCAGACUCCUACGGGAGGCAGCAGUGGGGAAUUUUGGACAAUGGGCGAAAGCCUGAUCCAGCAAUGCCGCGUGUGUGAAGAAGGCCUUCGGGUUGUAAAGCACUUUUGUCCGGAAAGAAAUCCUUGGUUCUAAUAUAGCCGGGGGAUGACGGUACCGGAAGAAUAAGCACCGGCUAACUACGUGCCAGCAGCCGCGGUAAUACGUAGGGUGCGAGCGUUAAUCGGAAUUACUGGGCGUAAAGCGUGCGCAGGCGGUUUGCUAAGACCGAUGUGAAAUCCCCGGGCUCAACCUGGGAACUGCAUUGGUGACUGGCAGGCUAGAGUAUGGCAGAGGGGGGUAGAAUUCCACGUGUAGCAGUGAAAUGCGUAGAGAUGUGGAGGAAUA
RNAcentral lists this ribosomal RNA (637 nucleotides) under uncultured beta proteobacterium. RNAcentral's name for it is "bacterial SSU rRNA". It matches the Rfam family "Bacterial small subunit ribosomal RNA", at positions 76 to 708 of the family's 1533-position model. The record is from RNAcentral. Lineage: Bacteria; Pseudomonadati; Pseudomonadota; Betaproteobacteria.